Molecule: non-coding RNA, 448 nt
Organism: Labrus bergylta (ballan wrasse)
Lineage: Eukaryota; Metazoa; Chordata; Actinopteri; Labriformes; Labridae
Source: RefSeq, a predicted model, not a curated record
ACGAUCGCGAUAGUUUGUCCAUUUCCAGGAUCCGUCCACAACCCCCGUUUCUUUGGGUUUUCCCGAUCUGUUGAUCUCUCUUUUAAACUAUGUGGUGGGUUAGGUAACCUGUUUGGCUUCAUUUUUUAUCUGUUUGAGGAGCCAGGCGCGCUUGUUUUGGGCUUGUUUCCAUAGAGCUGGUUUGCGUGUUUCUCUCGCGAGAUCUGGCAACACUGGGGAGUGACAACAGCUGGCAGUAUCAACAAAACCGGUUAAACCCGCAGGAAUAACCCGACGCGAAACAACAGCACACCAUGGAUCGAUACGACAACCUGGAUUUGGAUUUGGAGUGUGAAGGAGGAGGAGGAGGAGGAGUAGCUCAAAAAGCGGCGUUAUUCGGAGGGAUGUUCAAAAGAUCCUCCAAGAUCAUUGAACCAUCAGCCCCAGCUCCGGACAGUUUAUCAGUCAG